GUGCACACACACACACACACACACACACGCACGCACGCGCACACGCUAGUCCUAGACGGCCCUCCCCCUGCACGCGCCUACCCUUCCUCGCCCGCGCGACUGCUAACUCCCCUGUGCAGGCACAGCCCAAAGGGCCCCCAGCCCCUCCACAUCGCCAACUCCCUCCCAGGAUCUUGGGCAUGCAUGCGCAUGUGCCCAGCGUGAGUUUGAAGCUGCCGGGUCUGGGACUCAAACUGAGAUUGGCAUGCGAGAGUCCAGCAAUGUAACUAUUAGGCCAUCUGCUGGUCCCACACCAUCCUCCUUUAAACCAGGCAACAACCCCUUUGGGUCUAGGACACCUGCCACCGCCACUUAAGAUGAGCAGCCAGCGUAUCCUAUCGCUGCACUGUGCUGGGGACCGGGUAAACAGUAUCUCGUUUCAUCUCCAAGCACACGGGACGUUGCUAAGACGGGGGCCUCGAAGCCCAGAAUAACAAACCUUCCUGCAGUGCGCCAUACGACAACCAUCGUCAAGUGGCUUCUGGGAAACAAGGUGGCAUCGUGGUUAUGGCAGCUGGACCGCACAUGGCCGACUGCGCCGUCUGAGCCCGGCACCUGGCGACUGGAAAACACGCUGGGCGCAUGUGCGUGUGUGCCCAGGGCGCCAAGAGGAAAAUGGAACAGAAGGUUCGCGGUGUGCCCAUCCCCCGGGGUGCCUUCUCACGUUUGCUCUCUCUCUCUCUCUGGCAAGUGCAUAGCAAAAAAAAAAAAAUCUUUUUUUGGGGGUACUUCUAUUUCUGUCUAAAAGAUCUGUUCACAGGAUUAAAAAAAAUCUGUUCAAAUUCUAAAAAUAUCCUUAUAUCAGUGCUUCCCAAUGGCUGAGAUCAUUUCUGAGAGGUAAAUUAUCUAAGGUAAUUGAGUUACCUCCUCCUAAGGUGACAUGAUACUCUUUAAGAAUGGCACUGGCUAAGGGCCACUGGAUGGCACAAUGGUUACGUUGCUGGACUCCCGUAGUCAACUGCCAUCUGA
Molecule: long non-coding RNA, 1008 nt
Organism: Tupaia belangeri chinensis (Chinese tree shrew)
Lineage: Eukaryota; Metazoa; Chordata; Mammalia; Scandentia; Tupaiidae
Exons: 4
Source: RefSeq, a predicted model, not a curated record